CAACAGGCCCUUUGGUGAGCACUCCCAGGGCCAUGCAUACAUAAAAUAAGAUAUAGU
Candidatus Brocadia fulgida is the source of this 57-nucleotide non-coding RNA. The record is from Rfam. NCBI's taxonomy places the organism in Bacteria, Pseudomonadati, Planctomycetota, Candidatus Brocadiia, Candidatus Brocadiales, Candidatus Brocadiaceae.